AAAGGAAUAGACGGGGGCCCGCACAAGCAGUGGAGUAUGUGGUUUAAUUCGAGGCAACGCGAAGAACCUUACCAGGGCUUGACAUCCUCUGACAGGCUAAGAGAUUAGCUUUCCCUUCGGGGCAGAGAGACAGGUGGUGCAUGGUUGUCGUCAGCUCGUGUCGUGAGAUGUUCGGUUAAGUCCGGCAACGAGCGCAACCCCUAUUGCUAGUUACCAUCAUUAAGUUGGGGACUCUAGCGAGACUGCCGUUGACAAAACGGAGGAAGGUGGGGAUGACGUCAAAUCAUCAUGCCCCUUACGUCCUGGGCUACACACGUACUACAAUGGUAACGACAGAGGGCAGCGACUGCGCGAGCAGGAGCGAAUCCCAAAACGUUAUCUCAGUUCGGAUUGUAGGCUGCAACUCGCCUACAUGAAGUCGGAAUUGCUAGUAAUGGCAGGUCAGCAUACUGCCGUGAAUACGUUCCCGGGCCUUGUACACACCGCCCGU
Molecule: ribosomal RNA, 490 nt
Filed under: uncultured bacterium
Lineage: Bacteria
Description: bacterial SSU rRNA
Rfam family: Bacterial small subunit ribosomal RNA
Source: RNAcentral